GAUGAAGAACGCAGCGAAAUGAGAUAAGUAAUGUGAAUUGCAGAAUUCAGUGAAUCAUCGAAUCUUUGAACGCACAUUGCGCCCUCUGGUAUUCCGGGGGGCAUGCCUGUUCGAGCGUCAUUAUAACCACUCAAGCUCUCGCUUGGUAUUGGGGUUCGCGGUUCCGCGGCCCCUAAAAUCAGUGGCGGUGCCUGUCGGCUCUACGCGUAGUAAUACUCCUCGCGAUUGAGUCCGGUAGGUCUACUUGCCAGCAACCCCCAAUUUUUACAGGUUGACCUCGGAUCAGGUAGGGAUACCCGCUGAACUUAAGCAUAUCAAUAAGCGGAGGA
This 329-nucleotide unclassified non-coding RNA is filed under the name soil metagenome. RNAcentral describes it as "partial contains 5.8S ribosomal RNA, internal transcribed spacer 2, and large subunit ribosomal RNA". The stretch from base 1 to 120 matches the Rfam family "5.8S ribosomal RNA", at positions 35 to 154 of the family's 154-position model. The record is from RNAcentral.